This 264-nucleotide long non-coding RNA is filed under the name Canis lupus familiaris (dog). RNAcentral's name for it is "lncRNA (ENSCAFG00805026829.1, ENSCAFG00845015708.1)". Lineage: Eukaryota; Metazoa; Chordata; Mammalia; Carnivora; Canidae. The record is from RNAcentral.
CAAAAAAUGAGCAGAGGAGAGCUGGGUCUGAGAAACGGGGACAGCGGGGAGGGAGCUGAAAAAGAAUGAGGCUAGGCUGAUCUAUAUGGUAUGGAUCUGAGAAGGUGGGGCAAGUGGAGUAAAGAGGCCAAUAGGUCAUUGAAAUUGUGCAUGUUAGGUCACACAGAUGAAUCAGAAGACAGAGGAAGCCCUGCAAGUUGAGCUUACCUUACGCUGAACCUGAUCGGGGAGUGGUGAGAAGCAUGUGAAUUGCCAGAUGAAAUC